This 468-nucleotide ribosomal RNA is filed under the name uncultured bacterium. RNAcentral describes it as "partial 16S ribosomal RNA". It matches the Rfam family "Bacterial small subunit ribosomal RNA", at positions 28 to 507 of the family's 1533-position model. The record is from RNAcentral.
GACGAACGCUGGCGGCGUGCUUAACACAUGCAAGUCGAACGGAAAGGCCCUGCUUUUGUGGGGUGUUCUAGUGGCGAACGGGUGAGUAACACGUGAGUAACCUGCCUUUGACUUUGGGAUAACUUCAGGAAACUGGGGCUAAUACCGGAUAGGAGCUCCUGCUGCAUGGUGUGGGUUGGAAAGUUUCGGCGGUUGGGGAUGGACUCGCGGCUUAUCAGCUUGUUGGUGGGGUAGUGGCUUACCAAGGCUUUGACGGGUAGCCGGCCUGAGAGGGUGACCGGCCACAUUGGGACUGAGAUACGGCCCAGACUCCUACGGGAGGCAGCAGUGGGGAAUAUUGCACAAUGGGCGGAAGCCUGAUGCAGCAACGCCGCGUGCGGGAUGACGGCCUUCGGGUUGUAAACCGCUUUCGCCUGUGACGAAGCGUGAGUGACGGUAAUGGGUAAAGAAGCACCGGCUAACUACGUG